Molecule: ribosomal RNA, 462 nt
Filed under: uncultured bacterium
Lineage: Bacteria
Description: SSU rRNA
Rfam family: Bacterial small subunit ribosomal RNA
Source: RNAcentral
AGGAUAAACGCUGGCGGCGUGCAUGAGACAUGCAAGUCGAACGGACGAGCUUGCUCGUUAGUGGCGGACGGCUGAGUAACGCGUAGGUGACCUGCCCCGAAGUGGGGGAUAACUGCCCGAAAGGGUGGCUAAUACCGCAUGUGGCGACGCUUUCAUUGGCGUCAUCAAAGCCGCGAGGCGCUUCGGGAGGGGCCUGCGUCCGAUUAGCUCGUUGGUGGGGUAAUGGCUCACCAAGGCGACGAUCGGUAGGUGGUCUGAGAGGACGAUCACCCAGACUGGGACUGAGACACGGCCCAGACUCCUACGGGAGGCAGCAGUCGGGAAUUUUGCUCAAUGGGCGCAAGCCUGAAGCAGCAACGCCGCGUGCGGAUGAAGGCCUUCGGGUUGUAAACCGCUUUUACCAGGGACGAUAAUGACGGUACCUGAUGAAUAAGUCACGGCUAACUACGUGCCAGCAGCCGC